Molecule: ribosomal RNA, 253 nt
Filed under: uncultured bacterium
Lineage: Bacteria
Description: partial 16S ribosomal RNA
Rfam family: Bacterial small subunit ribosomal RNA
Source: RNAcentral
UACGUAGGGUGCGAGCGUUAAUCGGAAUUACUGGGCGUAAAGCGUGCGCAGGCGGUUCGUUGUGUCGGCGGUGAAAGCCCCGGGCUUAACCUGGGAAUGGCCGUUGAAACUGGCGAACUGGAGUGUGGGAGAGGGGGGUGGAAUUCCGCGUGUAGCAGUGAAAUGCGUAGAGAUGCGGAGGAACACCGAUGGCGAAGGCAGCCCCCUGGGCUAACACUGACGCUCAGGCACGAAAGCGUGGGGAGCAAACAGG